This 247-nucleotide long non-coding RNA is filed under the name Homo sapiens (human). RNAcentral's name for it is "non-protein coding LINC00446:4". The record is from RNAcentral. Lineage: Eukaryota; Metazoa; Chordata; Mammalia; Primates; Hominidae.
CAGCUAUGGAAAACACAAAACUAUCAGUCAUUGUCAAAUACUCCAUAAAUGGAGACAGAGAAGGGGUUCAGUUCUCUGUGUAACAAGGACAGAGGAGAAAGGCAUCUGCAGUGUCAAAUCUACAGAGACAAGUGCACCUGGAGACAAAUGACCAGACUACCAUAAAACAGAAGCUUAAUUAUGUUCACUUACAUUUUCAAAUUAUUCCCAACAAAUUACCCUGUUUUUCCAGGCAGAAGAAGCAGAG